CACCUUAAAAUCUCAUUCAGAAAUAGAGAGAAAAAUCUGGUUGAAAAGAAUUGUGAUAAUCUGUUUUAUUUUGUUCUUAAACUUGAAUGAAAUCAGCUUAAUCAUCAAAAGAGAUAGUCCAGAUAGAUGGGUGGAGGAGCACAUGUAAGAUCGGAUAUCUCUCUUCCAAUUUCCUUGCUUGAAAUUUAUAUCCCAACCCAUAUUUUUCUGGUAUUUUCCUUAAUCUUCUCGAACUUUUAAUCGAAAGUAAAAUCCCUUGUAUUUCCCCUCUUUCUCCGUCUUUCAAAUAUUAAUUUUCUAGGGUUUUAGGUAGUUGUCUCAGGUUGAUUUUAGUUGUUUCAUAUUCUAGGUUUAGGUGUUUGUAAUUUUUGUUUACGUUACUUAUUGGGUAAAUUCACUACUCAAAGGAAUCACAUGGUAAAGAUCUGCAAGUUCAAAACGGUUAUGUGAGUUUGUUAUAGAGAAGGUGUUUAAUAAAGUGAGUUUAAGAUUAUUUGAUAAGUAGAUUAAUUGUCAUGUUUGGUAUGAAGUUAUUAGCUUUCUUAAAUGAUAGCGUGUUUGAUAAUACUUUGGUUAGGGUAUCUUUGGGCUUAUUAGACUGAUGGUGUGUUUAUCUUGGAAUAUUUUGGGUUAGGAUAUAUCUGGUUGUACAAGAGUUUGACAGCGUAUUGAUAUUAUGAUUUAGUUUCUUGGUUUACUGGUAAAGUUAGGAAUACUACCUCUAUUUCAUCUAUAGUGUUGUUGUUCUAGUAUGGUUUAUAAGCUACUUUUUAGUUUUAGGAUGUUGCUUCAGAUGAGGUGCAUGUUUGAUAUGCCUCUUGUCUAUAUAUUUGUCUAUCUGAUUAUGUUUCUAUGUAUGUUCGAUAUGCUAAUCUUUUCACCAGUAGUUGAUUUAAAUUGGUUUCGGAUUUGUUUGAUUAUGUUUUAGUUUAUUCAUACUCAAGACAAUAUAUUUGUCCUGUGUCUUCAAAAUGGGUAGUGUAGAAAGUUCUUUCAAUUUUAUUUUCUGGCCAGACACUAUGCUGCAACGGCAAUUGUACUGAGAUAGUGAUGAUCUGGCUUUGUAGCUUAUAGUUAUUGUAAUCGCGUUGUCUAUCAUUUUCAGUCUACAAUAAGGUUUAUGACACCUCCAUUUUCACCUAGUGCAAUCAAAUUGUUUUUUUAGUGAUCAUAUCUAGCUUCUACUCACCCUUGCUGAUUAGGAAAAUAAUUCACUACAUGUAUGUUUAUCAAGUUAGUCAUCCAUGGUUUGAAGAUUUAAUCUUUUAGUAGUAGCCAUGAAUCCCUGCUCUUUAUCUUGUGCUUUUAACAGGGCAAUAGUUUUUGUUACACCCAUCAUAUAGAAAAUAGCAUUUUGCAAGAUAUUAUACCCUGAUAUUUUAUUUUGUGCUUUUAACAUGGCUUUUUUUUUUGUUAUUUAUUUCAAGUAUGCACAAAUCAGUGUUGGUUCCAGAGAGUACUUCAGCUAGCAUUCUACCAUGUUUGUUAUAAUUUUACGGGGUCAUUUGGAAUCACAUAAAUGAGGUUCUGUUUAGAAAUGUUGCUGCAAACCCAGCUAGUGUCUUGCGGAAAAUUGAUGGCUACAUAACUGCGAAUGAGGAAAGCUUGACAACCUCGUACCAACUUUGGAAGUAUCUAAGAGGUAGGAAUUUUCAACGUCAGGCUUAUGAAUGAGCGUCCAUAUACUAUCAUUGGGGAGGCAGAUAGCACCAUUCUUCUAGUGAGAGAUGGAGCAUGUAAGAGGUGUAAGAGAACUAGUAAGGUUAUUGCAUAGACUUGUCGGCUCAUUGGAAACGACUCUGGUGGUUGUACUACAGGUAAUGGAACUUUUUUUGCAUUAUCAACCUUCAGGUUCAGACUGGGUGUUUGGCUUUUUGUAUGGGCUGCGUGCUUGUUGGUCUUCUCAAGCUAGGAAUGUCAAAAUCAUCACGGAUUGCACUCCUUGUUGCUGGACUAUUCAACAUUGGCCAGCUAGUUGUGAACCUGAGAUUGUUUCUGUAAUAGAUGAUGUAACUACUAAGUCUCUAGAUAACUGUUAGUUCGUAUAUUGCAAGGAACGAAGGGCACUAGCCACUAGGUGUUAAGAAGAUUCUAUUUGAAGCUGCGGAAAAGCCAUCUUAGGCCAAAAAAAUUUGGAGUUAGUGCUUUGUUGUGGUAUAUUAUGAGAGGACCAUCGUCUAAGUUUCAUUCACUUGCAUGUCUGAGUGCUACAAUUAUUAACAAAGCGUGACUUCUUAAGUAUAGGUGACAAGUUUGACCAAGGGUCUGACACUAUUGUUGAAUUUGUGAUAACGGCUAUUGAAAGAUGUAUGGAGUUAAAUCUCGAUGAGCUGAACCUGAUAGGUUGAUAUGGGAUUGCUUGUAUGAAGCUAUUAGUAAUUCUAUAUCUGGUGGAUAUUCACAACAUUUAUCCUGUCUGUUAUCAGUUUUUAUAUCAACUAUUUAUUUUGAUCAUGGUCGAAUUAUCAAUGGUAAGUUAUGAGUGAGCUUAUGAAUUCAUCUUUGAUGGGUUGAUGUUCUUCUAUUAUGUAAAGCGAGACUAGUGUUCUUGAAAUAUGUGCAGAUUACAAUCAAAUGCUGAAUUUAGUGGGGUUGCUUAAGGGGAAACAUAUUCAAUUUCAGCUUAUGUGUUGUACGUUCUUAAUGUCAUUCACAGUAACAACAAGUUAACUGUUAUCCCUGAAAUUUCCUUGCAGUGGGCUUUUGUUUUUCAAUUUAAGAGCUCAAUGUACUUUACCUUGGACAAUUGGUAGAAAUUUUUGGUAGAUUAUCAGGAUUUCUUUGAAGUAGUUGUCUUUCUUUCUUUACACUGUGAAAGAAGUUAUUACUUACCGCUAUAUAUUUUGUUUUUGUAAGGUCGAUGAUGCAUUUGAAUAUUUUGGUGAUGGGAGAAAGGAAUCAAGCUAGGGACGAUGCAUAGCUUCUUCAACUAUGAAGGCAAUGAAGCCCACAUUAUGAAACUUGAACUUAAAGCCUUUUGAAGAAUGACCUUUAUUUUGUAGAUUACGAGUAAUAGGUUAGAAUCAUAAGUAGAGGUGAUAGAUGUUUUGAUUUUAAGUUUGUGUUUAGGAGACGAUACUAUCUAAUUAAAUAGUUUGGAUGAUGUUUAAACUUUGAUUAUAUAUUUAGAAUAUAUUAUUACAUACA
Molecule: long non-coding RNA, 3147 nt
Organism: Spinacia oleracea (spinach)
Lineage: Eukaryota; Viridiplantae; Streptophyta; Magnoliopsida; Caryophyllales; Amaranthaceae
Exons: 3
Source: RefSeq, a predicted model, not a curated record